AAUUGUUUUCUAUUUUUCACUUUGAGAUCAGUAUAAUUACUUUACCGUUCAUUUUUUGAUUACAUUUUUGUUGAUGAUUUUCAGUUGAUUUUGGGCUUGCGAGAAAAGUGAAAAGAUUUCGGGCUUGUAAAGAACUGCAGGGAACGCCACACUACAUAGCGCCUGAAGUGUGGACAUGCAGCUCACAUAAUUUCAAGUGCGACAUAUGGGCUUUGGGAAUUACUGCCAUUGAGAUGGCCCAAGCAAGAUGUCCACUACUCCAUUUACAACGAGAAGCAGUUGGAGAACAAGUUGUUUUUGGAGAUCCUCCAACUCUGAGUCGACCAUACAGAUGGUAAGAUAACCACAUCCCAUUUGACUUUAGUCAUAAUCUGAAGGAGUGAUCCUGACCCCAUUGCAACCCUGGGGAGGCUCCGCCCUGCCUUUCCCCAUUCACCUUUUUAGCACCAGAGGGGGUCCAGGAGGGUUCUCUUCCCUAGUGCAGAGAGUGCUCUAGCAGAGCCUAAUUUCCACUUUGAAAACCAGACAUUCUGCUCUUAAAGUUAUAAGGAGCAUCUUAUAUUAUCUCUAAAUCAACACGCUUUUAUUUUUUUCCAGGUCUAAAGCUUUUAAUUCAUUUAUUGAGUUCUGUCUAACCAAGGAUCCCAAAGACAGACCAACGGCUAAAUUUCUGCUCCAAAACCAUCCCUUCAUAACAGAUAUACAGGAUGAAAUGCAAGCCAUAGCAGAAAUAAAGGACCUAGUCAGAAGACUGAAUG
Xenopus laevis (African clawed frog) is the source of this 758-nucleotide long non-coding RNA. RefSeq lists it as uncharacterized. The transcript is spliced from 3 exons. NCBI's taxonomy places the organism in Eukaryota, Metazoa, Chordata, Amphibia, Anura, Pipidae. The record is from RefSeq and is a predicted model, not a curated record.